This 253-nucleotide ribosomal RNA is filed under the name uncultured bacterium. RNAcentral describes it as "partial 16S ribosomal RNA". It matches the Rfam family "Bacterial small subunit ribosomal RNA", at positions 524 to 776 of the family's 1533-position model. The record is from RNAcentral.
GACGUAGGGCGCGAGCGUUGUCCGGAUUUAUUGGGCGUAAAGAGCUCGUAGGCGGCUUGUCGCGUCGACUGUGAAAUCCCGCGGCUCAACUGCGGGUCUGCAGUCGAUACGGGCAGGCUAGAGUUCGGUAGGGGAGACUGGAAUUCCUGGUGUAGCGGUAAAAUGCGCAGAUAUCAGGAGGAACACCGGUGGCGAAGGCGGGUCUCUGGGCAAUAACUGACGCUGAGGAGCGAAAGCGUGGGGAGCGAACAGG